Molecule: ribosomal RNA, 256 nt
Filed under: uncultured bacterium
Lineage: Bacteria
Description: partial 16S ribosomal RNA
Rfam family: Bacterial small subunit ribosomal RNA
Source: RNAcentral
GACGUAGGUGGCGAACGUUAUCCGGAAUUAUUGGGCGUAAAGGGUGCGUAGAUGGCUUGAUAAGUUAGCAGUGGGAAAUCGAGGCUCAACCUCGUGGAAGCUGGUAAUACUGUCAGGCUCGAGUGCAGGAGAGGUUAACGGAACUCCAUGUGGAGCGGUAAAAUGUGUAGAUAUAUGGAAGAACACCAAUAACGGCGAAGGCAGUUAACUAUUCUGUUACUGACGCUGAGGUGCGAAAGCGUGGGGAGCAAACAGG